GAUGAAGAACGUAGUGAAUUGCGAUAAGUAAUGUGAAUUGCAGAUUUUCAGUGAAUCAUCGAAUCUUUGAACGCACAUUGCGCCCGCUGGUAUUCCGGCGGGCAUGCCUGUUCGAGCGUCAUUUCAACCCUCAAGCCCCCGGGUUUGGUGUUGGGGAUCGGCUCUGCCUUCUGGCGGUGCCGCCCCCGAAAUACAUUGGCGGUCUCGCUGCAGCCUCCAUUGCGUAGUAGCUAACACCUCGCAACUGGAACGCGGCGCGGCCAUGCCGUAAAACCCCAACUUCUGAAUGUUGACCUCGGAUCAGGUAGGAAUACCCGCUGAACUUAAGCAUAUCAAUAAGCGGAGGA
This 347-nucleotide unclassified non-coding RNA is filed under the name soil metagenome. RNAcentral describes it as "partial contains 5.8S ribosomal RNA, internal transcribed spacer 2, and large subunit ribosomal RNA". The stretch from base 1 to 121 matches the Rfam family "5.8S ribosomal RNA", at positions 35 to 154 of the family's 154-position model. The record is from RNAcentral.